ACAACUCAAGGUAGAUUCUUUUAACAUACAAUGUUCACAAAUUUAUUCUUUUCUUGCAAUUUGUUUUCUUGCUACAAAUUUCACUCAACCCCCUCCUGGUUACCUGGUGGUUGGAAAUUAAUUUGUUUGAGGAUCCGUGUGCUUCAUGUGAUCGACUUGGACUUACCACUAAGACUAAUUCUUGGUGUGUGAUUCUGUUUAUUAUUUGACACGGGUUUGGGUAGUGAAACCUGUCUGACCAAUUUUCUUUGGUGUUGUAGGUUGUACCUGUCUAUCCCGAGGCAGAACUUUCUUCUUCUUAUAUGUGGACACAUGUUGAGGUUUUUCUGUUUUGACCUUUUCAGUAAUUGCCGCACGGUUAGGCAUCAUCCAUUUGGAUUUGGACUCUGCUGUUGCAUUGUUUCCUCUCUACAAAGUCUCCAACUCAAAUCUAAAUUAAAUUAUACAUAAAACUUCAUCAAAUUGUCUGAAUUUCAAAUUGUUCAUGC
Molecule: long non-coding RNA, 488 nt
Filed under: Cucumis sativus (cucumber)
Lineage: Eukaryota; Viridiplantae; Streptophyta; Magnoliopsida; Cucurbitales; Cucurbitaceae
Description: long non-coding RNA (CSAT_LNC002599)
Source: RNAcentral